RNAcentral lists this ribosomal RNA (465 nucleotides) under uncultured Klebsiella sp. RNAcentral describes it as "bacterial SSU rRNA". It matches the Rfam family "Bacterial small subunit ribosomal RNA", at positions 338 to 795 of the family's 1533-position model. Lineage: Bacteria; Pseudomonadati; Pseudomonadota; Gammaproteobacteria; Enterobacterales; Enterobacteriaceae. The record is from RNAcentral.
CCUACGGGCGGCAGCAGUGGGGAAUAUUGCACAAUGGGCGCAAGCCUGAUGCAGCCAUGCCGCGUGUGUGAAGAAGGCCUUCGGGUUGUAAAGCACUUUCAGCGGGGAGGAAGGCGGUGAGGUUAAUAACCUCAUUCAUUGACGUUACCCGCAGAAGAAGCACCGGCUAACUCCGUGCCAGCAGCCGCGGUAAUACGGAGGGUGCAAGCGUUAAUCGGAAUUACUGGGCGUAAAGCGCACGCAGGCGGUCUGUCAAGUCGGAUGUGAAAUCCCCGGGCUCAACCUGGGAACUGCAUUCGAAACUGGCAGGCUAGAGUCUUGUAGAGGGGGGUAGAAUCCCAGGUGUAGCGGUGAAAUGCGUAGAGAUCUGGAGGAAUACCGGUGGCGAAGGCGGCCCCCUGGACAAAGACUGACGCUCAGGUGCGAAAGCGUGGGGAGCAAACAGGAUUAGAUACCCGUGUAGUC